Helianthus annuus (common sunflower) is the source of this 3709-nucleotide long non-coding RNA. RefSeq lists it as uncharacterized. Lineage: Eukaryota; Viridiplantae; Streptophyta; Magnoliopsida; Asterales; Asteraceae. The transcript is spliced from 12 exons. The record is from RefSeq and is a predicted model, not a curated record.
ACGAGCAAUACCGAGUUUCCUUUUUAUCGAUCAAUCAAGAACCUAGACUCUAUAUGGCACACAUACGAUCAAUCAUCAACUCAUUACCAUAACUUACGAGACGUGUGAAUCUAUCUCUUAUAUUAAAGCAAAAUAAUGUUGGCUUUUUGACCUUUGAUGUGGCAAUGCUCUUUGGCCAGAGAAUUGUUUUAUUGGGCGGCAAAAUGUUUUUCCUCAAUUCUCUUUCAUUUGUAAACCGCCUAUUAUGUUCUUCUUCAAUAUGGAAACCCCCAAUCAAUUCUCAAUCAGUUGAAUUCUUCUGUAAAUUUAUGAAUACCUUUCUAUGAUUCGGCGCUCAUUUCCUUCUUCUUCUUUGAGAAACCCUAAAUCUACAUGUGUUACUUCUUCUACGUCGAGUGCUGCAAUUGAUCGGUAUGUAUUCUUUCUAAAACCCUUGCCGUGUUCCUUCUUCUUGAUUCUUCUACGAUUCGGGUGCUACAAUCGAUCGGUAUGUAUUAUAGGUUUUAAUUUUAGUAUUUCGAUUGCUUUUUCUGAUGUUAAUUUGUUUAUUCUCAUAAAAGCUACCUCCCAUCUUUAUCAUUGUUGUUCCAUAUCUGAUGCAGGUUAGUAAUCUUUUGAAUUUAAGUUUUGUUUUGUUGUUUGAUUUUUUUGAUAAUAAUCAAACUGUGGCCGUAUUCGUCUUUAGAUCUGAUGAUUACGAUUCAGGUGCUACAAUCAUGUUGUUGCUGUUUGUUUUUUAAUCUCAUGUUUAUGCUUGAUUUGGACCUUGAUAAACUCGCGUUGACAUGGCAAAUUAGGGUUUACAAGGUGUGAAUUCAUAGUGGGGAUCUUAGCUUUUGUGUUAGUGCAAGAAGGUUUCUAUGGCAUCGAGGCUUAAUCAUGAUAACGUCGUUAAGAUGCUAGGAUAUUGUGCAGAUGGUGGUUCGAGAUUACUUGCUUAUAAGUUGAUGGAUCAUUAUUAGGAAGAUGAGAUGAAGAAGAUAAUUGAAGAUGAGACGAAGAAGAUGACUGUGAUGAAAACGGUAGUCAUGCUCCAACCCUAAUCUAUCUUUGACAUACUAGAGAAAGGUCAUUGUGGUUCCAUAAUUUUGAUUUUAGCUUUUAAACUUAUAAGUGGUAGUUAACUAAAGACCCUUAAAUUAGACUUUUUCAUGUGGUUUUUUCAUGUCAUAUGAGCUACCUGAGUACAUGUAUUAUCCGCAUGAUUGAUUUUACGAUUACACGAUGUCGCUGAAUGAAUACAGAUGCUGAAAACCCUUAAUGCCGACGAGUAUUUUUCACAGGUUUGGGGAUUUCCAUUUUUAUGCCGAUUUUCUUUAUUGCGUCUAUUUGAUUGAUGUUUUGUUGCAAUUCAUUGAUUAGGGUUUGUGUUUGAUUGCUGUUCAUUGCUUAUAGAGGCUUUUUAUAAGUCAGGUUUGUGUGUUUAUUGUACUUCACAUGUUUGAAGGUUUACUGCCUCACAAAAACUGAGUUGAAGGUUUGUUUUCUUAAGUCUGAUGUCACAAAAACAUGUUUGAAGGUUUUCUUAAGUUUGAUGUCACAAAAACUGGUUUUAUUUGGUGCUGACCCAUUCAUAGUAAAUGGCAAAACUACCAACUAUAGUUCCUUUUUGUUUUUUAAUGUUAGGAUAAUAAAGGUGGCUUAAUUGAUCUUAGAGGUUAUUAUUACUGAUUACAAAUACAAAAGUAGUCCCACCAAACUUAUCUCUUUGUUACUUUUUUUUCUCAGUUACUUCAGUAGAUAUUAAGCAAAUCGUGCAAGUUGACAAAAAACCAUGAAAUUUUUGCUUACUACAUCAGCUCAAAUUGCACCUAAUGAGAAUCACUGGCUUGAUGAUGGUGCAGUUCUCAUGGUACUUUGGAUAUGAUUUGUAUUUGUGUUUGUUUGUAGUAAUUCUAUUUGGUUUUGGUAUAAAUUAUUCUGAAUUUUUGCAUGAUGAUAGUUUAAAAGCUGCAUAUGAGUAUGGGUUUGAAUGCCACUUUGAUUGGUGAUAGUAUAAUUUAUUUGUGGUUAUGUAUGCUGAUUGGGACUGCCUAAUUAUUGGUUUUAAUGAGGCUACUUAGCUGUUUUGGAGUGUCAUUGCUUUUGGAUGAUUUUUAUAAGUCAGGUUUGUGUGUUUAUUGUACUUCACAUGCUUGAAGGUUUACUGCCUCGCAAAAACUAAUUUGAAGGUUUGUUUUCUAAUAUCUGAUGUCAUUUACUUUGUUAAUUGGUAAGAACAUCUGCAAUUAAGAUUUUGUAUGAGCAUAAGUAGACUUCAAAAUGCUUCAAUGUUUAAACCAUCUUUGUUGCUCAUUGUUUAUUGGCCAUAUUGUUGUAUGAUCUCUGUUUAGGAUUUGUUGGCAGAUAUAUGUGGUGCAGGUUACAUAUUUGAGAGAAAGGAAGUUCAAGGCUGGGCUGAUCUAUUGGCAUGAAGUUUGGUCAAAGCUUCAAUGGUGUUGUUAUAUGCGAACUUGAUAUUUAUUAUAACAUCAAUUGUUUCAUCAUGAUCGUGCAGCAGAAACUGUCAAUAAGAGGCAAAGAAUUUAUGUCAAUUCCAAGCACCAGAUUUGAUUAUACACUCAACCAUUUUUUUAGUUGGUCAAGAUUUGAUGGGUUGUGCUCAAAUGGAUUCGGGAAGCAAAUGGGACAAAUCGUCUAAGCUUUUUAGAUAUCCUCUCAGAUCGCGUCCAAGCCUAAGAACGAUAAGCUACCCACUUUACCACCGUCAAUUGCAUUCAGGUUUCUCGUGACCGGCAUCUGUCGGUCUUCAUUACUUACAUUCAUCGCUGAAAACACCCAGCCCCAUUGUGCCUCUUGUGUGUGACGCGUGACUUAUCUAGAUGAUUAGUUUUAUGUGGCGCUUAUUUGUCUUGGGUAGUCUAUUUGUGUUCUGAUGGCCGCCUACGAUGGUUUUGGGCGCUUCUUCUGUGGUUUUCUUUGUUCAGAGUUAGGGUUCUUUUUUGGGUUUUUGUUAACAGAGUGGCGGACUACGGUUUUGUUUGGCAGUCUAUCAACCAUUGUUUCAUCAUGAUCGUGCAGCAGCAACUGUCAAUAAUAGGCAAAGAUUGGUCGAGAUUUGAUGGGUUGUGCUCAAAUGGAUUCGGGUAAAACAAUAUCAUUUUGCUUCCGGAAGCAAAGGGGGCAAAUCGUCUUAGGUUUUUAGAUAUCCUCUCAGAUCGUGUCCAAACCUACGAACAACAAGCUACCCGCUUUACCACCGUCAAUUGCAAUCAGGUUUCUCGUGACCGGCAUCUGUCGGUCUUCAAUACUUACAUUCACCGUUGAAAACACCCAGCCCCAUUGUGCCUCUUGUGUGUGACGCGUGGCUUAUCUUGAUGUUUAGUUUUAUGUGGCGCUUAUUUUUCUUUAGUAGUCUAUUCGUGUUCCGAUGGCCGCCUACGAUGGUUUUGGGCACUUCUUCUGCGGUUUUCUUUGUUCAGGUGUUUUGUUUAAGGAACAGCCGGAGGUGGUGGAGGGAGGAUGAGAUGAAGGAGACGAAGAAGUUGGCGGGAGACAGAGAAUUUGGCGAGAGAGUUGAAUAACAAAAUUGGUCAAAGGGUUGUGUAUCAACUAAAAUCAGACCUGAAACCGUAAAACAAUGGUGUAGUUGUUUACAUGUGUGAUUUGGUGUAUAUGUGUUUGUAGUAAUUCUAUUCAGUUUUGGACAUGAAAUUAUGUUGUGUUUGAUAAAGCUGAUCCAUCAAUAUAACUCCGUUUACUCGAGUCA